Transfer RNA from Ovis aries (sheep), 72 nucleotides. It matches the Rfam family "tRNA". Rfam says of the family: Transfer RNA (tRNA) molecules are approximately 80 nucleotides in length. The record is from Rfam. Lineage: Eukaryota; Metazoa; Chordata; Mammalia; Artiodactyla; Bovidae.
UCCCUUGUGGCUCAGCUGGUAAAGAAUCUGCCUGCAAUGCAGGAAAUCCUGGUUCAAUUCCUGGGCUGGGAA